RNAcentral lists this ribosomal RNA (404 nucleotides) under uncultured Prochlorococcus sp. Its description in RNAcentral is "bacterial SSU rRNA". It matches the Rfam family "Bacterial small subunit ribosomal RNA", at positions 49 to 501 of the family's 1533-position model. Lineage: Bacteria; Bacillati; Cyanobacteriota; Cyanophyceae; Synechococcales; Prochlorococcaceae. The record is from RNAcentral.
UAACACAUGCAAGUCGAACGAACCUUCGGGUUAGUGGCGGACGGGUGAGUAACGCGUGAGAAUCUGCCCUCAGGAGGGGGAUAACGGUUGGAAACGACCGCUAAUACCCCAUAUGCCUACUGGUGAAAUGAAUUUCGCCUGAGGAUGAGCUCGCGUCUGAUUAGCUAGUUGGUGAGGUAAUGGCUCACCAAGGCUUCGAUCAGUAGCUGGUCUGAGAGGAUGAUCAGCCACACUGGGACUGAGACACGGCCCAGACUCCUACGGGAGGCAGCAGUGGGGAAUUUUCCGCAAUGGGCGAAAGCCUGACGGAGCAACGCCGCGUGAGGGACGAAGGCCUCUGGGCUGUAAACCUCUUUUCUCAAGGAAGAAGAUAUGACGGUACUGAGGAAUAGGCCACGGCUAAU